Molecule: ribosomal RNA, 342 nt
Filed under: uncultured soil bacterium
Lineage: Bacteria
Description: bacterial SSU rRNA
Rfam family: Bacterial small subunit ribosomal RNA
Source: RNAcentral
AGAUUGAACGCUGGCGGCAUGCUUUACACAUGCAAGUCGAACGGUAACAGGCCGCAAGGUGCUGACGAGUGGCGAACGGGUGAGUAAUGCAUCGGAACGUGCCCAGUCGUGGGGGAUAACGCAGCGAAAGCUGUGCUAAUACCGCAUACGAUCUAUGGAUGAAAGCGGGGGACCGAAAGGCCUCGCGCGAUUGGAGCGGCCGAUGUCAGAUUAGCUAGUUGGUGGGGUAAAGGCCCACCAAGGCGACGAUCUGUAGCUGGUCUGAGAGGACGACCAGCCACACUGGAACUGAGACACGGUCCAGACUCCUACGGGAGCAGCAGGUGGGGAAUUUGGACAAGU